CCUACGGGUGGCUGCAGUGGGGAAUAUUGGACAAUGGGGGCAACCCUGAUCCAGCCAUGCCGCGUGUGUGAAGAAGGCCCUCGGGUUGUAAAGCACUUUCAGUGAGGAAGAACGCCUGGUGGUUAAUACCCAUCAGGAAAGACAUCACUCACAGAAGAAGCACCGGCUAACUCCGUGCCAGCAGCCGCGGUAAUACGGAGGGUGCGAGCGUUAAUCGGAAUUACUGGGCGUAAAGCGCGCGUAGGUGGCUUGAUAAGCCGGUUGUGAAAGCCCCGGGCUCAGCCUGGGAACGGCAUCCGGAACUGUCAAGCUAGAGUGCAGGAGAGGAAGGUAGAAUUGCCGGUGUAGCGGUGAAAUGCGUAGGGAUCGGGAGGAAUACCAGUGGCGAAGGCGGCCUUCUGGACUGAAACUGACACUGAGGUGCGAAAGCGUGGGUAGCGAACAGGAUUAGAUACCCAAGUAGUA
RNAcentral lists this ribosomal RNA (465 nucleotides) under Vreelandella stevensii. Its description in RNAcentral is "partial 16S ribosomal RNA". It matches the Rfam family "Bacterial small subunit ribosomal RNA", at positions 338 to 795 of the family's 1533-position model. The record is from RNAcentral. Lineage: Bacteria; Pseudomonadati; Pseudomonadota; Gammaproteobacteria; Oceanospirillales; Halomonadaceae.